This 76-nucleotide transfer RNA is filed under the name Thioalkalivibrio sp. RNAcentral's name for it is "tRNA-Lys". It matches the Rfam family "tRNA". Rfam says of the family: Transfer RNA (tRNA) molecules are approximately 80 nucleotides in length. Their secondary structure includes four short double-helical elements and three loops (D, anti-codon, and T loops). The record is from RNAcentral. Lineage: Bacteria; Pseudomonadati; Pseudomonadota; Gammaproteobacteria; Chromatiales; Ectothiorhodospiraceae.
GGGUCGUUAGCUCAGUUGGUAGAGCACUGGACUUUUAAUCCAUUGGUCGUUGGUUCGAGCCCAACACGACCCACCA